GUACUCAGCACACACAGGGCUCAGUACUCUCUAUGGUCACAGGUACUCAGCAUACACAGGGCUCAGUACUCUCCAGGGUCACAGGUACUCAGCAUACACAGGGCUCAGUACUCUCCAUGGUCACAGGUACUCAGCAUACACAGGGCUCAGUACUCUCCAUGGUCACAGGUACUCAGCAUACACAGGGCUCAGUACUCUCCAUGGCCACAGGUGUCAGCAUACACAGGGCUCAGUACUCUCCAGGGUCACAGGUGUCAACAUACUCAGGAUUCAGGACUCUCCAUGAUCACAGGUGUCAACAUACUCGGGGUUCAGGACUCUCCAUGGUCACAGGUUCUCAGCAUAUACAGGGUUCAGUACUCUCCAUGGUCACAGGUACUUAGCAUAUACAGGGCUCAGUACUCUCCAGGGUCACAGGUACUUAGCAUACACAGGGCUCAGUACUCUCCAGGGUCACAGGUACUCAGCAUACACAGGGGUCAGUACUCUCCAAGGUCACAGGUACUCAGCAUACACAGGGCUCAGUACUCUCUGUGGUCACAGGUACUCAGCACACACAGGGCUCAGUACUCUCCAUGGUCACAGGUACUCAGCAUACACAGGGCUCAGUACUCUCCAGGGUUCAGUACUCUCCAAGGUCACAGGUACUCAGCAUACACAGGGCUCAGUACUCUCUGUGGUCACAGGUACUCAGCACACAUAGGGCUCAGUACUCUCCAUGGUCACAGGUACUCAGGAUACACAGGGCUCAGUACUCUCCAGGGUCACAGGUACUCAGCAUACACAGGGCUCAGUACCCCCCAGGGUCACAGGUACUCAGCAUACACAGGGUUCAGUACUCUCCAUGGUUACAGGUACUCAGUAUAUAGAGGGGUCAGUACUCAUCAUGGUUACAGGUAUUCAGCAUACACAGGGUUCAGUACUCUCCAGAGUCACAGGUGUCAACAUACUCAGGGUUCAGUACUGUGCAUGGUCACAGGUACCCAGCAUAUACAGGUACUAUCAGUGGUUACAAGUACCCACUAGACUAAGUGGGGACGACUUCCUUUCUUUCGAGCUCCUGCGGAUGCCACAGUUCUCUGUCUCGCCUGUUGCUCCUCCUCCCUCUCCGUCCAGUACCUGUGGAGCCAAGCAAGAGCAUGUGAAAUGCAUGGCGAUGGGUGCAAUGGCCACCACUUCUUUCUGCUGGGGUCCCUGAGGCCCUGGCUGUGACUCUAGAGCCCAGUGCGUGGAAGGCUUGGGCUGGUGGAC
This 1251-nucleotide long non-coding RNA is filed under the name Oryctolagus cuniculus (rabbit). Its description in RNAcentral is "lncRNA (ENSOCUG00000030062.1)". Lineage: Eukaryota; Metazoa; Chordata; Mammalia; Lagomorpha; Leporidae. The record is from RNAcentral.